UUUAUUAACCCUUAUCGGCUGCUACCAUAAAGGGGUGAUGGUUUAAUAGAAUAUUCCUCAGUUCAUACGUCGCGUCUACCCUAAGUUCGCCUACAAUUUUCCAACCUCUGUGGAGAUAUGCCGCCGCCACCGAUCAUGUUUCCUCUUCUAUAGAAAGUUAUAUCUAACUGUCGACGUAAUAUCUCCAAGCCCGUUUCAGUCCUUCUCGAAAGGCGCCAAUAUCCAUCGAGCAGACCUGCCCACUUUCCCUAUACCCCUUAGCUCCAAUGGCACCAGACGACUCACCAAUGACUAGUACCAGCACCAGCUCCGAUGACGAACCCGUCGAAAGCCUUGUGGAGGGACGAGCCCGGCGGAGCACCGCGGGCAAGAACAUGGGUGCGCUUCUUGAUGCAGAGGCCGACGACGAACUCGCCCUCCUGUUCGCGGAAGAAGAAGAUGAUGAAGAAUUCACAAGUGGCGAUGAAGAUGCUGCGGGGGAGGAAGGUGAAGUUGCUGAGGAUGAAGUGGAUGACAUGCAACUUGAUUCUUCAUCAGAUGACGAAGAUGACCGGGGCCCUAAUGCGCAGGAGGAUGAGUUAGAAGGAGAGAAGGAGCUCGAGAGACAGGCUAGAGCGGAGCGGCUGGCGAGGAAGCGGAAGGAGCAGGACAGUAUGAUGAAGAUUCCGGCGUUUCGGAAAAGGGUGAAGAUUGACCCGACCGCGACGAAGGAGGCCAGUGAGACUGGGGGUGUGCAGCCGCGCCCUAAGAAGAAAUCGGAGCGGGUAUCGUGGUUGCCGGCGCCAGAGGAUGGUCCAACUCGUUCCUCGUCUAGAAGGCAGACGAUGCAGAACAAGGAGCUCACGCACGCGAGGUUAAAGGAUAGUGAACAGAGGCGAGUGAGACUGAUAGCGACGAUGGAGGAGGCCGCAAGGCGCAAGGAGAAAUUGAAACCGAAAGUGAUGACGCAGCAGGAGCGAUUGGCGGAGGCAGCAAAGACGGAGCGGCUGAAUAGUAAGAGCUUGAACCGGUGGGAACAGAUGGAGAGAAAACGAAGUGAGGAGCAAAAGGCGAAAUUAGCAGCGUUGCAGAAUCGCAGACUGGAAGGCGCUGUUGCGACAUGGUGGAGUGGACUUGCGAAAUGGGUUAAUGGGAAACUGACACAGGUCGGUACGAAGGAAAUUAGACGGGUGCCGGAGGUGGAGAAGAAAAAAAAGGGUGUUAAGGAUAAUGAUCAUUCUCCUAGGAGGGGGAAAUCUAAGAAGAUGGACAGGGUUGGGGAAGAAGGUGGUGGUAAAACUAUCCCACCACUUCAGGAAAAAAGUCCAGAUACGCCGGCUGGGAAACCGGCAGUAGAGGGGCAAACGCAGGAAACGAAGAAAGAUUGCCCACCGGAACAGCAGAUCACUUUUACAUCGCCGCAAGAGCCAUCAAAUUUUUUGGAUGGGAUUCAUAUUUACGCCGCUAUGAAAGAUGAUACAGCGCAGGUGUCUGCUAUAUCUGGCCAAACGCCAUCUUCUACGCAGGCACAACCAGUACCGGGACCAGUACCUGAAGCAUCAAAAUCCUCGACAGUGCCUGAACCACCCUCAAAAACUCCACCGUCUCAAUCAAUAUCAAUGGAAGGAACAUCAAUGACUGAAGCGAUCCCGGAAUCUUCUGAAGUCACGUCGAAGGGAUCGGGAUCGACCCUGCUGCCAACCAAACCAGAGAAUCAAGAAUCCCAGAAGCUAUUUCCGCGGAUAGAAAUGGUAACUAGGUCUGAAGGAAACCCAACAGCAGCAGCAGCAGUGGCAUCACCAUCGUUAUUACAGCAGCAAAAGGACAACCAACCCGGACCACCAACCAUACAUAUCGAUGAGAAUAUCAGAGAUGCUCAAGAUCAGCGGACACAGAUUCAGAUGCAAUCUGAAUCAAAAUCUCCGCUCACACACCCUCCUACCGCCCAACCACUAGAAGCUCAACCAGAACAAUCACAACUCCCUAUACCUACACCACCUCCAACGAUCGAAUAUUCAUCCCGUAACCUGCUAAUCCUCGAAAGCUUCGAAAAUAAAACCCCACAAGAACGAGAAGAAUUUAACAUAUUCUUCAACUCUCGCAAACCGCAAAAGCUACAAAAAAUCACCCAAGAACUCUGUCCCAUAACCUCCCGUCCAGCCCAUUACCGUGACCCAGAAACAAAGCUCCCGUACGCCAACGCCGUUGCGUACCGCGAGAUCCGCCAGACGCUGGCCAAUCGGUAUGCGUGGAGUGGGUUGCUAGGAUGUUUUGUAGGGCCUAUCGGGGUGGGCGCUAGGGGGGUUCCUGAGAGGUUUUUGGCGCCGAAUGCACCACCACCGCCGACUGCGGUUUUGGUGGGUGACGACGGCAGUGGCGGUGGAACAGUGGGUGAAAGCGGCAGCGGGAAUACGAGGAGCGCAGGUAAGAGUAGGGUUGGGGAUGAAGUUGAAGGGGGGUGACAAGUGUAUUUUACUGAAUUUUGAUAUCCCAAAUUUUUAAUUUAAUUUUAUUUUAAUUUUUGUUUUUCCGCCACUUUCCAUUCGCCCAUUGAUUGAACAUUCCCGUUUUGAUCUCUUUCCUCAACCUUACCUUGCUUGCAAGUUAAAGUACCUACCAAUACAGUUCUUUGUCUGGCCAGAGUUAACCUCAUCUUGGCUUUUCCUCGAAUCG
RNAcentral lists this small RNA (2652 nucleotides) under Histoplasma capsulatum var. duboisii H88. Its description in RNAcentral is "Histoplasma capsulatum H88 hypothetical RNA". Lineage: Eukaryota; Fungi; Ascomycota; Eurotiomycetes; Onygenales; Ajellomycetaceae. The record is from RNAcentral.